GUGCCAGCAGCCGCGGUAAGACGAACCGUGCAAACGUUGUUCGGAAUCACUGGGCUUAAAGGGCGCGUAGGCGGGCUCCCAAGUCGGUGGUGAAAUCUUUCGGCCCAACCGGAAAAGUGCCGCCGAUACUGGGAGUCUCGAGGGAGGUAGGGGUCGAGGGAACUUCCGGUGGAGCGGUGAAAUGCGUAGAUAUCGGAAGGAACGCCGGUGGCGAAAGCGCUCGACUGGACCUCUUCUGACGCUGAGGCGCGAAAGCCAGGGGAGCAAACGGGAUUAGAAACCCUCGUAGUCC
RNAcentral lists this ribosomal RNA (292 nucleotides) under uncultured bacterium. RNAcentral describes it as "partial 16S ribosomal RNA". It matches the Rfam family "Bacterial small subunit ribosomal RNA", at positions 505 to 796 of the family's 1533-position model. The record is from RNAcentral.